AGUGCAGUCUUCGCUCGGCGUACUGAUUUUGCACUGCAGAGAAGGAGAGAGAAUGGAGGAGGGAGAAGACAAAAGCAAGAAAAAGCAAUGCAGAUUCUGGAGUUGGGUGAUCAUACCAGUGAUUUUCAGACUGAUUUUGAUUUAUUUCCCCAAAAAUCUCAACUUAGCUUCUCGCCCCGAAGUCUCCACUCCUCUUACCAGUCUUCGUCGCUUGGCCGAAGGUUACUGGUUGAAGCAGUCAUCGAUAUCUCCAUAUGCAGGAUCAAUGUAUCAUGGUUCACCUUUGUUGCUGUCAGUUCUUGGGCCGCUUACUGUUAAAAGAAUUGAAGGACAACCUAGUCAUCUUUUAUGCAGUUUAGUUUUUGUGAUUGCAGAUAUUUUCAGUGCAAUGCUUCUUCGCGCUAUUGGACUGAAUCUUCAGAAAGCCCAUAGUCAGGGUUUAAAAUUACUGGGCCUUCUUAAGCCAUCAAAUACUUCUGAGAUCCUGCCCCCCGGAGAUAUUGCUGCACUUGUUUACUUGUGGAAUCCUUUCACAGUAGUUUCUUGUGUGGGCAUGUCAACUUCCCCAGUUGAAAAUCUAGUGGUCAUUUUGUCUGUUUAUGGAGCAUGCACAAGACUAGUUCCAUUGGCUGCUUUUGGAUGGGUCAUGGCAACACAUUUGUCUCUUUAUCCUGCAGUUCUCAUAAUUCCAGUGAUUAUUUUGUUGGGAUAUGGUCCAGAUGGUCCUCCUAGAAAGUUGUUCCUGCAGAGACAAGGUAAAAAUGGAGAUAAUCCGUCAACUGAGGUCUGUGAUCAGCAACACAGAUUGUUAAACCAAACAAAUCUACCUGUUAUUUUCUCAUGGAGACCAGUCAUGCAUUUUAUACUCUGGGCCUCAGCAUGGUCAGCAUAUGUGCUGGUGCUAUGUGACAUAUCUUUGCAGCAGUAUGGAGGUCUGGCAGAGAUGUUCAAAAGGACGUAUGGGUUCAUUCUCACUAUUGAAGAUCUGUCACCAAAUGUAGGCGUUUUGUGGUACUUCUUUGCUGAAGUUUUCGAUUUUUUCAGAAGCUUUUUUCUGAUAGUUUUCCAUGUAAAUAUUCUGUUCAUGAUUUUUCCAUUAGCAACACGGUUAAAUCAUCGGCCCUGCUUCCUGGCUUUUGCGUACAUGGCAAUUACUUCUGUUCUGAAAUCUUACCCUUCAGUUGGAGAUUCAGCUCUGUACUUGGGUUUGUUGGCGUUGUUUGUUAAUGAGUUAGCAGACAUGCAGUUCUCUUUCUUCCUCUUCUGUGGAUAUGUUGGGGUUUCGCUCCUCAGUCCUCUGAUGCACAACUUGUGGAUAUGGAGGGGUACUGGCAAUGCAAACUUUUAUUUUGCUACUGCUAUCGCCUAUGCAUGCUUUCAGAUUGUUUUGGUGGUGGAGAGUGUCAGUGCCAUGCUCAACUGUGACAGAAUGCUGAGAAAGCGAUAUAUUGGGAAGCCUCAAGAGGGAAAAUCUUGAAAUCUUGCAACCUUGUUAAGCACGUUCCUGCUCAUUAACCUUCUGUUGAGAAGUCAGCAGUGUAACCAACUACAAUAUGCCCUUUGUCUUCUUGAACAAUGGCUUGCAGCCAUUGUAAGAGCAUCACUGCUGACAUCAUCCGUUCGCUUCUUUGCUUAAGUAGUCCCAAAAGGUCAACAGUUUCAUAUUGGUUGGUGGGUUAUGAUAAAGCCUCUUACACACGAGGGGCCGGAGCCCCCUUGUUCACCUAUCACCCAAUUUUUAUAUUCAGAGUGCAUUUGGAUAUUAAUAUUUUUGUUCAGCAUAAAUAAAUAGUAUGGUCCUUGAUACCAUGUUUCUGCAACUAACUAGGACACAUGCAAUGG
Molecule: non-coding RNA, 1842 nt
Organism: Carica papaya (papaya)
Lineage: Eukaryota; Viridiplantae; Streptophyta; Magnoliopsida; Brassicales; Caricaceae
Source: RefSeq, a predicted model, not a curated record